CAAGUAGGCGGUUGCAGCGGCACAAGUAGAAGAGAGUUACGCAGUACAUGGAAUCAUUUUCAAGAAGACACAACCCUGAGACUGCGCACCUAAAACCUUGUGUAGAAAAUAGAGGAAACGGUGCAACAAUUCCGGAAAAUCUGUCUACGAGGAAGAAGACUACACAAAGACCGAAGCAGAAGCAAAGGAAACAAUGAGGAGGACACAGCUACAACUCGGAAGUUCGCAUCUCCCUCACUGAG
Long non-coding RNA from Arabidopsis thaliana (thale cress), 242 nucleotides. RefSeq annotates it as other RNA. NCBI's taxonomy places the organism in Eukaryota, Viridiplantae, Streptophyta, Magnoliopsida, Brassicales, Brassicaceae. The transcript has a single exon. The record is from RefSeq.